RNAcentral lists this long non-coding RNA (1316 nucleotides) under Salmo salar (Atlantic salmon). RNAcentral describes it as "lncRNA (ENSSSAG00000106852.1)". The record is from RNAcentral. Lineage: Eukaryota; Metazoa; Chordata; Actinopteri; Salmoniformes; Salmonidae.
CAUUAUUGGAUGACUCAUUCAUAUUCCAUUUACCCAGUUCAAAGUCACAGCGAUAGGUCAAGGCUACUACAUGAUACUCAAAUUUUGUCCUAUACCCAUCAUGAGGUUGCGACAACCUAGCCUAUGAAUGAAAGUUUUCAACAAUCGGCGGAAUGAAUACGACUAGGUAAACGCUUGAGAAAGAACGGAAGAGGGAGAAAUAGAGACAGUGUCGUUCCUGAGACCGCACCCCUCCACCACAGGUCCUGGAGCAGGUGGACCAGCUGCUCCACUCCCCCCACCACUGGGCCACCUCGUCGGGCUGCUGCACUCCUGGUGCUUCUGGCUGUGCUGGCUCUGCCGAUCGACCUCCUCACUCCCAUCACUACUGUCCUGGCAGAGCUAGAGUAUUUUACAUGUGUAUUACACUGUAUGUACAGUAUGCAUAUGUGUGUCUUUUUCUUAUUCUCUCUCUGCCAUUAGGAUGGCAUAAGGGAGAGUUGUGUUGGGAAAAGCCAUGUAGCCCUAACAGUAGGGUUGCUGUGCAGACUGCAACUGGCAGCAGCAGCUGGCUGGACUGUUCCAUUAAACCCGAGGGGGUACGGAAAACUAAAAGACCGAAAAUCACUUUAGGUGGCAUUUGCACAAGAUUUCCCACUGUAAGUAUUCUGUCUGUGUGUGUGUAAGAGGCAGCAGCAAGCAACCCAGUGACAUGAUUGACUUUGCUAUGUUGCCUCUAUUCCUGAAGUGUUUCCUCCCUACAUGAACAAGCACACAGUGGGGAGUGUUUCCCUAAACACAUUAUCACCACUAAUGGUGCUGAGGCUCACUUUCCACCCGACGAAUCUGUUAACACGUGUUUAUCACUGACUGAAACAGAGUCCAAAAAUGGCUGCUGCUACCUCCUGGGGUGUACCUUAAAACCUAUAGACUUUCAGGGUUUACGCCAAUUAAUGAACAAUGGACAAUAUAUGGAGGUGUCAUACGUACUGGCAAUGUUUACUUGUGUGGCUACAGCACAAUGAAUCCAUUUGGGCUAAAUAUGGCAAUGUAAGUUGGUAGCUAUCCCCCUACUAAUUGUUGUUUCAUUUUGUGUUUCUUUUCUGCUACUGGCAAGGAGAGAUGGCCAGUCCCAUAUGGGCUACCACUACACAAUGUCUUCCUGUUGAUUCCUGUUCUCCUCUGUUUAGGCUACUCCCAGGGAGGACUUGCCCUACAGGCAAUGAUGAGUUAUUAUAUAAGAUUAGGCUUGCAUAUCUUCUUUUUGAUUUCAUUUUCUUUCUUUUUUCCUCAUUACCCUUACUCAUCAAGUCUGAUAACUUCAUUGUAAAGGUCUG